Callithrix jacchus (white-tufted-ear marmoset) is the source of this 297-nucleotide unclassified non-coding RNA. It matches the Rfam family "Metazoan signal recognition particle RNA". From Rfam's summary of the family: The signal recognition particle (SRP) is a universally conserved ribonucleoprotein. It is involved in the co-translational targeting of proteins to membranes. The record is from Ensembl. NCBI's taxonomy places the organism in Eukaryota, Metazoa, Chordata, Mammalia, Primates, Cebidae.
GCCGGGCACGGUGGAGUGUGCCUGUAGUCCCAGCUACUCGGGAGGCUGAGGCUGGAGGAUUGCUUGAGUCCAGUUCUGGUCUGUAGUGUGCUAUGCUGAUCGGGUGUCCACAUUAAGUUCAACAUCAAUACGGUGACCUCCUGGGCGCAGGGAACCACCAGGUUGCCUAAGGAGGGGUAAACUGGCCCAGGUCAGAAACGGAGCAGGUCAAAACUCCUGUUGUGAUCAGUAGUGGGAUCAUGCCUGUGAAUAGCUACUGCACUCCAGCCUGGGCAACAUAGCAAGACCCCAUCUCUA